UACGUAGGGGGCAAGCGUUGUCCGGAUUUAUUGGGCGUAAAGAGCGUGUAGGCGGUUAGGUAGGUCCGUUGUGAAAACUCGAGGCUCAACCUCGAGACGCCGAUGGAAACCCCCUAACUAGAGUCCGGAAGAGGAGAGUGGAAUUCCUGGUGUAGCGGUGAAAUGCGCAGAUAUCAGGAAGAACACCCGUGGCUAAGGCGGCUCCCUAGUACGGUACUGACGCUGAGACGCGAAAGCGUGGGGAGCGAACAGG
RNAcentral lists this ribosomal RNA (253 nucleotides) under uncultured bacterium. RNAcentral's name for it is "partial 16S ribosomal RNA". It matches the Rfam family "Bacterial small subunit ribosomal RNA", at positions 524 to 776 of the family's 1533-position model. The record is from RNAcentral.